This 264-nucleotide unclassified non-coding RNA is filed under the name Hevea brasiliensis (rubber tree). The record is from RNAcentral. Lineage: Eukaryota; Viridiplantae; Streptophyta; Magnoliopsida; Malpighiales; Euphorbiaceae.
GCAAGUUUUAGUUAUUUAAGCAGACUGAUGUCCAACAAAAUUGAAUGGCCAAAAAGAAUCAAUACCAAUCCCAACUACUUUGAGAUUAAGGCUUAAUAGUUGUUGUUGUUCCCCUUAGUAGUUUAAUGGGAAUGAGAACUGAAUAAAUAGUCUAUGGAUGAUAAUGAACAUGGGAACAUGUAUAAACCAGAUUGUAAAUGCUUAAUUACAACUGUGGCAACUGUGGAUCAGCAGCUAUCACCCCCUCUCUCUCUCUCUCUCUCU